GAUGAACGCUGGCGGCGUGCUUAACACAUGCAAGUCGAACGGGAUCCCGGGGGUUCGCUUCCGGGUGAGAGUGGCGAACGGGUGAGUAAUGCGUGACCGACCUGCCCCAUACACCGGAAUAGCUCCUGGAAACGGGUGGUAAUGCCGGAUGCUCCGGUUGGAUGCAUGUCCUUCCGGGAAGGAUUCUAUCGGUAUGGGAUGGGGUCGCGUCCUAUCAGCUUGAUGGCGGGGUAACGGCCCACCAUGGCUUCGACGGGUAGCCGGCCUGAGAGGGCGACCGGCCACAUUGGGACUGAGAUACGGCCCAGACUCCUACGGGAGGCAGCAGUGGGGAAUAUUGCACAAUGGGCGCAAGCCUGAUGCAGCGACGCCGCGUGCGGGAUGGAGGCCUUCGGGUUGUAAACCGCUUUUGAUCGGGAGCAAGCCCUUCGGGG
Molecule: ribosomal RNA, 434 nt
Filed under: Bifidobacterium dentium
Lineage: Bacteria; Bacillati; Actinomycetota; Actinomycetes; Bifidobacteriales; Bifidobacteriaceae
Description: bacterial SSU rRNA
Rfam family: Bacterial small subunit ribosomal RNA
Source: RNAcentral